This 253-nucleotide ribosomal RNA is filed under the name uncultured bacterium. RNAcentral's name for it is "partial 16S ribosomal RNA". It matches the Rfam family "Bacterial small subunit ribosomal RNA", at positions 524 to 776 of the family's 1533-position model. The record is from RNAcentral.
UACGUAGGGUGCAAGCGUUGUCCGGAAUUAUUGGGCGUAAAGGGCUCGUAGGCGGUCCGUCACGUCGGGAGUGAAAACUUGGGGCUUAACCCCAAGCCUGCUUCCGAUACGGGCGGACUAGAGGUAGGCAGGGGAGAACGGAAUUCCUGGUGUAGCGGUGAAAUGCGUAGAUAUCGUCAGGAAUGCCGGUGGUGAAGACGGGUGACUGGGCUGGUUCUGACACUGAGGCACGAAAGCGUGGGGAGCGAACGGG